CCGGGUGGUUUCACCUUAAAAAUGGCACCGAGUCUGCGGCCACAACAAGCGGAAGAGGAUGCUGUGCUGGGACAGUUUGAGCUGUUCGGGUGUUACCGACUGGGCCGAAGCGGACCAGGCAUUGAGUUAGACAACGGCUGGAGCAUCGCCCUGUCCUCGCUCACUCUGCUAGCGUCCCGAGAAUUCCCCCGCCCUCCGUCUUGAGCCGAAUCACAGGGGCCUACUGACGCGAGAGUCGCUGGCGUCCGCACGGGGUUCCGGCAUCUCGGAGCGCCCACCGUGUUGUGGCCUCAGGGGAAUGUUGCAGCGUCUGCUAUCCGCGGGGCGGGAGGGCGGGAGGCUCAGCACGACCGAGGACGGUCGCAAUGGAUUCUCCGGGGUCCCGUCGCCGCCGUGUGGGCCCAUUGGACUCCUAGCGCUCCUGGCGCUGGCAGCGUCACCGGACAAAGGGCCCCGGGUAGGGGGUGUCCCGACGCGGGCGCGCGGCUUUACUUCCUCUCCGGUCCCCAUGGGCGUGCUUCCCUCUUUGGCUGAUCCCGAAGCCUGCCCCGCCACCAUCACCGCACCAGUGGCUCUGGCUGCAUGGGACCAACAGGACUAAUCCUACCCCGCGGAUCUAAUCCGGCUCGGGACCCCGUCCCAGGGGAGGCCCCCCCCACCCCUCCUAUUGUUUUGGUGCCCAGUCCAUCUCAGGUGCGCCCUCAGACUGGAAGUGACGGUCGUAGACGUCGGAGAGCCGGGGCAGUGGCCAUCUCUCGAACCCAGGGUAACAUUGGUGAAGGAGGGAGGACCUGGGGCCUCCAGAUAGGGCUGCAAUGGCGAUGAGUCCCACAGGGCCGCCCCAGCCCGCAGCUCGCUAAAGAUAGCCCUCCACUUCCUGGGGAAAAACCACCCCAACCGCCUUCGUGUACAGAGAGUAGCUGAAGUCCCCAGCCUCAGCCUCUGGUCCCCAACUCUGUUAACAGCUGUCCCCGGGUCGUGCGCCUGCGGCAUGGAAAGCGCUUUGGAAUGACACGAUCACUCCCGUUGAGUGGGCACACAAGAAGCCAUCGGGAAUGUCGUGUCCGCCCAGGGCUCUUUCGUUGCCUCCCAGCAGGGCCUUGAAGCCCUGGCCAAGAAAGGGGCCUUGCCAAACUAUUCCUGCCCCUAGGAUCCCCUACUUUCUGAGCUCUGGGCACUCACACUGCUCCAGGGCAGAGAUCACAGGUUUCCCAGCACUCUGUGCUGCAUCAGGUUCGAUUUCCAUU
Molecule: non-coding RNA, 1247 nt
Organism: Ceratotherium simum simum (southern white rhinoceros)
Lineage: Eukaryota; Metazoa; Chordata; Mammalia; Perissodactyla; Rhinocerotidae
Source: RefSeq, a predicted model, not a curated record